UGAGGAAUUUACGUAGGAAUCACUUCAUAAGGAUGCUGCUCAAGGAUUGCAGUCUUCCUUACAUCACAGUAAUUUCUUUUUGACAGAAAGUUUUCAGUGAGGAGAGUCAGCUAGGCUGCCGGCCAUGUUUUCGCUAGGCCUGAGUUUUAGGUAGGCCACCAUUCAGCUGUGGAAUUACAGCUGCAUGUACCUGUGGGUACAAUCAUCCCUCAGAUGGGAAGAUUACAGAUUUGUGGAUGCAGCUAUGUGGAAAAAUGAUCUUAAUUACAGCUGUCCAUGUGCGCUGCCAGACAGGUGUGACUGCCAGGCUGAGCUUUUGAAAAGAGGCCCACUGGCUUCAACUGCGAUGCCAGCCUCACCUCUGCCAGAGCCAAGUUACACACAGAUACUAAGGAACUCAGUUGCUUGGAGACCUGCAUCUUGUUAUCCGUGCUGAAAGGCCAGAUCUAAAGUAGCAAGUGCACACGGGAAGAAAAUGAGAAAGACAGGCUUUGUCUUUCUCCAAUUUGUUGGCUGCUCACCCAUCCCUUAAAAAAAGUCUUGGAUUCCUUUUUGGGGGCAUGUCAAUGUGUGUAAGUAGGAGCUGGCAAGUUGCCACGUUUAGAUGAUCAU
Cygnus olor (mute swan) is the source of this 612-nucleotide long non-coding RNA. RefSeq lists it as uncharacterized. The transcript has 3 exons. NCBI's taxonomy places the organism in Eukaryota, Metazoa, Chordata, Aves, Anseriformes, Anatidae. The record is from RefSeq and is a predicted model, not a curated record.